Molecule: long non-coding RNA, 1731 nt
Organism: Ictidomys tridecemlineatus (thirteen-lined ground squirrel)
Lineage: Eukaryota; Metazoa; Chordata; Mammalia; Rodentia; Sciuridae
Source: Ensembl
CUCAACACGCAGGCGCUGACAUAAGGAAGAGAGCCCUGGUCACGUCCUGGGAGAAAGAGAUCUUUGAAACAGGUAUGUCCUCUCCAACGGUGCCGUCUGUGCAGCACCUGCUCUCCCACCUGGGACCUGGAAUAAUGGAUGAGUUCCUCUCCCUUUCUAGCACAUCUUUGCUAAACUUUGAGUGGUGCGUACCUACCUGGCGGCCUGAAACACAAGGGUGUGGGCAGAGAUGGCCCGACUCUGGCCCUUUCUUAUUUUUCAUGUUUUAUUUUCUCUUUUCCUCCUUUUUAGUCAAUGUUACCUUUCUCAAAAUUCACGAUCUCGUGGUUAGUAAUUCCCAAGAGGAAGGGAAACACUCUCCAUUGAGGACUUCCCAGCAGUUCCUCCACAUACCCCCAGGAUCCCAUAAUCCCGGAGCUACCCGUUCUUCUUGCCCGUGAGAAUGCAGAUAUCCGGUGGCUCUGCAAAGGGUCUUGUUGCUUGGUAGAGACGGUGCUGCCUGCUGGCUCCUUGUCCCUCUGACAGAACACCUUGGACAGCUGUGGAAGACUUGGCACCAGUGGACACAACUGCACACAGAUCAGAAUCUGAGUGUAUGCUGGAGGUGGCCUGCUUCAUCCUACCACUCAGCGCAAGUCAGGGACCUCGGGAGAAAGUCGGGGUCUGUGGUGGGAGGAAAAAGUUCUACAGCUGUGGGAAGGGUUCACUAGCCUGGAGGCAUGAGAUUGGGCUUCCCUGCAGCCCCAGGGCCUGGGUGAAUCUGAUCUUGGCUACAGAUGGCUGGGGCUGUGCCCUGCUGAAGAAUGAGUCCAGCAAAAAGAUUAACAGCGUAGUUUUAACAGCAAAGAAAAUCCUCAAUCUAGCAGAAAGGGCACAGGUCUAGGAGUCAGGAGAUUCCAGCCCAGCCCAGGCCUGAUCUUCAGGGACUCUGGAGUCUUGAGCAAACCCCCUCAGGGUCUCUGGGCCCCAUUUUGCGCUUUCAAUGGGAGUAGAAGAUUGCUCCAUCCAGAGCAUAAGGCAGUCACAUACCGUAAUGGUCAAUUUGAAUUGUCAACGUGAUUGGAUCAAGAGAUGCGGAAGAUUAAGAGGCUUCUGGGUAUGACCGAGAGGGUGUGUCUAGGAAUGAUUGGCAUAAGGGAUAACAAACUGAAGUGGAGACUCUCCCGAAGCUUGUGCAUUGCCAUCCAAUAGGAUGGUGGCUCAAAUGAGAUAAAAGUUGGAAGAACAAGGAAGUAGAUGCAAGCUUGGCUCUUCUUGAAGGGGUUCUUGAUUGCUCCUGUGAUCACCUGAGAACACCAGACUCACGCUCCUUCAUUUUUCCAAAGCAGACUCCGACAGUGAUUUCCUAGGGAGUUCCCAGGGCUUUGGUCUUGGCCUGGAGUAGCACCAUGGAUCCCUCUUUCUCUGAGGUUUCAGCCUCUUGGACUGCACGGCUACUGUUUCCUAUAGCUCUCCUGCCUACAGACAGCCAUUGUGGGCUAUCCAGGUUCUGGUCGAGUAAGCCAAUCUAAUAAAUCCUCUUUUUAUUAACAUACUUCCUGUUGAUUCUGUUCCUUUAUAGAGCCCUAAUAACAUGUAUAAAAUGGGCUGCCCCAAAUUUGCCUGCUGCUCUCUGGGAAGAACUAAUAACUGAUUUCUCUAUGUCUGGGCAGAAGUGCCUGCAGCAACACAGAUGUUCCUUGACUUAGGAUGGGGUUAGGUCCCAGUAAACCCAUCAUCAGUGGAAAUAUC